Exophiala bonariae is the source of this 96-nucleotide non-coding RNA. NCBI's taxonomy places the organism in Eukaryota, Fungi, Ascomycota, Eurotiomycetes, Chaetothyriales, Herpotrichiellaceae. The record is from the annotation of a RefSeq genome assembly.
GGUUUUAUAGUGUAGUGGUUAUCACUCCGGAUUUUGAUCACAAAAUCACAAGGUUGAAACCUUCCGGCGACCCCGGUUCGAACCCGGGUAAGACCG